This 77-nucleotide transfer RNA is filed under the name Erysipelotrichia bacterium. RNAcentral describes it as "tRNA-Glu". It matches the Rfam family "tRNA". From Rfam's summary of the family: Transfer RNA (tRNA) molecules are approximately 80 nucleotides in length. Lineage: Bacteria; Bacillati; Bacillota; Erysipelotrichia. The record is from RNAcentral.
GGUCCGUUGGAGAAGCGGUUCAACUCACAUGCCUUUCACGCAUGCAUUCACGGGUUCAAAUCCCGUACGGGCUACCA